AAAGGAAUAGACGGGGAGACACUACAACGGGUGACGCGUGCGGUUCAAUUAGAUUCUACACCGUGAACCUCACCAGGAGCGACAGCAGGAUGAAGGUCAGUCUGAAGGGCUUACCUGACACGCUGAGAGGAGUUGCAUGGCCAACGUCAGCCUGUGCCGUGAGGUGACCUGUUAAAUCAGGUAACAGGCAAGACCCGCAUGUAUAUUUACUACGUGUACAAUAUACAGAUUGCCUUGGUAACGAGGAUGAAAGUGCGGGCUACGUUAGGUGAGUACAGCCUGAAUCCCCUGGGCAACACGCGCGCGUCAAUGGUGGAUACAACGGGACGCAACGCCGAAAGGCGAAGCUAAUCUCUUAAAGUCCAUCUCAGUUUAGAUCGAGGUUUGAAACUCAGCCUCGUGACACUGGAAUCCGUAGUAAUCGUUUGUUAGCAGCGAACGGUGAAUAAGUCACUGUCUCUUGCACACACCGCCCGU
This 477-nucleotide ribosomal RNA is filed under the name uncultured bacterium. RNAcentral describes it as "bacterial SSU rRNA". It matches the Rfam family "Archaeal small subunit ribosomal RNA", at positions 858 to 1353 of the family's 1478-position model. The record is from RNAcentral.